RNAcentral lists this ribosomal RNA (387 nucleotides) under uncultured bacterium. RNAcentral describes it as "bacterial SSU rRNA". It matches the Rfam family "Bacterial small subunit ribosomal RNA", at positions 28 to 417 of the family's 1533-position model. The record is from RNAcentral.
GACGAACGCUGGCGGCGUGCUUAACACAUGCAAGUCGAGCGGUAAGGCCCUUUCGGGGGUACACGAGCGGCGAACGGGUGAGUAACACGUGGGUGACCUGCCCUCAGCUCUGGGAUAAGCCUGGGAAACCGGGUCUAAUACUGGAUAUGACUCCACGACGCAUGUUGUGGGGUGGAAAGCCUUGUGCGGCUGAGGAUGGGCCCGCGGCCUAUCAGCUUGUUGGUGGGGUGAUGGCCUACCAAGGCGACGACGGGUAGCCGGCCUGAGAGGGCGACCGGCCACACUGGGACUGAGACACGGCCCAGACUCCUACGGGAGGCAGCAGUGGGGAAUCUUGCGCAAUGGGCGAAAGCCUGACGCAGCGACGCCGCGUGGGGAUGAAGGCCU